This 144-nucleotide small RNA is filed under the name Theobroma cacao (cacao). Its description in RNAcentral is "sRNA Tc05v2_g009820". The record is from RNAcentral. Lineage: Eukaryota; Viridiplantae; Streptophyta; Magnoliopsida; Malvales; Malvaceae.
GGUGGAAAUUCAAAAAUCAAGUAAAAAAAGGUGGUGAGUCAAUUGUUUCGGGUAAGAGACUGCACCCGAGGGCGGAAGAUAGGAGUAUUUCUACUCCUAAUACUAGGGGGUUCCGUGGACCAGCCUAUUAGAGGGGCACGGUAA